GUGGUGGCGGAGCCCCAUGCAUUGGAGGAGGUGGUGGUGGUGGGGGAGGAGCCCCGUACAUUGGUGGAGGUGGUGGUGGUGGUGGAGCACCACGCGAUAUAGGCGGUGGCGAUGGCGGAGGAGCCCCAGGCAUAGGUGGAGGUGGAGGUGGAGGUGGUGGGGGAGCCCCACGCAUGGGAGUUGAUGGAGGAGAAGCUUGAUGCAUUGGAGGUGGAGGUGGAGGUGGAGGUGGUGGAGGUGCCCCACACAUCGAAGGUGGUGGGGGUGGAGAGGGUAUCCCUCGCAUUAUAGGGGUCAAAGGAGAAGUUGCACCAAACAUCGAAGAUGGCAAAGGAGGAGGAGGUGGGGGUGGGGAUGGUGAUCCAUACAUAGAAGGUGGGGGGGAAGGAGGUGGGGGAUGUAAGGCUCCAUACAUGGAAGGUGGUGGGGGAGGAGGUGGUGGAGGUGAGGCUCCACACGUGGAAGGUGGUGGUGGUGGGGGAGGAGGCGGUGGAGGUGAAGCUCCAUACAUGGAAGGUGGAGGGGGAGGAGGUGGUGGAAGUGAGGCUCCAUACAUGGAAGGUGGGGUGGGAGGAGGUGGUGGAGGUGGAACUCCACGCAUGGAAGGUGGUGGGGGAGGAGGUGGAGGAGGUGAGGCUCUAUGCAUUGAAGAUGGCGCUUGAUGUAUUAAAGAUAGUGUUGGAGAUGCACCAUACAUGGGUGGGGGCGGAGGUG
RNAcentral lists this long non-coding RNA (714 nucleotides) under Cucumis sativus (cucumber). RNAcentral's name for it is "long non-coding RNA (CSAT_LNC000043)". Lineage: Eukaryota; Viridiplantae; Streptophyta; Magnoliopsida; Cucurbitales; Cucurbitaceae. The record is from RNAcentral.